RNA transcript from Harpegnathos saltator (Jerdon's jumping ant), 1355 nucleotides. It is a transcript of the gene named coiled-coil-helix-coiled-coil-helix domain-containing protein 7, with no coding region annotated. Lineage: Eukaryota; Metazoa; Arthropoda; Insecta; Hymenoptera; Formicidae. The record is from RefSeq and is a predicted model, not a curated record. The transcript is spliced from 5 exons.
UUUUUCAUUUUUAAUAGCUUUUAUUACUGAAAGCAGCAUAAAUUGCUGUAGCUCAGUGUAAGUGCGUCAGAAAAAGAUCAAUUAGAGAGAGAUAGUGAAUGUAUCCUCUCAUAGAAUUUUGAUAAAAUCGCUCUCACAACUCUUAUUAGAGGAUAUCUAUGUAUGUGUAACUCGCCAUGCCAUCUAGUAGCACAAAAGCGCGGAAAGUUAUAAUGAACAGACCUUAUACCGCACCAGUGUUGUGAUCUGACAAAUCUGUAUAGAUUUGUUAGAUGCAUUAAAUAAUUAAGCAUUUAAAUAAUAAAAUGGGUAUGGAAAAUAAAUUAAAUGAUGUUAAAGAACGACCGUAUCGUAUAAAUAAACAUAACGUUUUAACAUAUGAUCAAGAAAAAAACAAUCCUUGUUAUAAGGAACAAAUCUUAUCUUUGAAAUGUUUAGACUCCCAUCAGAAUGAUCGCAAUGUAUGUGAUUUGUACUUUACCAAUUAUAAAAACUGUAGGAGAUUUUGGGCCACUGUGCAGCGUGAACGCAAGUUAAAAAAGAUCGAACCAUAUUUACCACCAAUAGAGGAACGUGCAAAGAUAAAGGCUGAUUACCUAAAUUCUAGAUGAUAUUAAGUUCCAAUCAUUUACAAAGAAAAGAGAAAAAAACGACAAAAAUAAAACAGUUAUUAUACUAUUAGUAUAUUAAUAACGUCCGAGGGACGAUACAUGUUAAAAACGAAGAGGUGCAUUGAUAGCCUAUCGCUCAACGGAUUCUCGGCAGCGUUCAAAGAAAAAAUAACUGCAGCACCCAAAUACAAGAAAAUAAUGAAACUAAAACGAACAGAGCAAGAAGGAAAGAGAAAGAGAGAAAAAGAGAGAAAAGAAUAAAAACGGUGAUAUAUAAUUAUAUGUAUUGCAACAAGACAACGAUCAAGGAGAUUCAGGUAAUUUUGUUCAUCAUGACAACAUAGGAAUUAAUAAAUCAGUUCGUGAUACAAUCAAAGGCUUACAAGGCGAAGAAAAUUUAAGAUGUGAUAUAAUAUAUAAUUACUAUUAGAAAUACGCGAGAUACAUAAACUGGUUCUUGAUUCUAUGAUACAUAUCCAAAGUUUAAAAGCAAAAAUUUAUGUGCUAACUUAUAAUGUUCAUAGAUCGUUAAUGAUUUUAUACGCUAACGACUCGAUAAAUAUUUAAACGUUAUAUCAAAAUUUUUUAUGUUAGAACUUUUUUAUGUUAGAAAAAAAUCUUGUUUUUCUUUUACUUACAUAGUUAAUCAAAUGACUCAAUUACUUCAUAAUUAUAAAAGAUAAAAAAAUUGUCAUAAAUUCUCUAUAUCAGAUAUACAAUAGUAUAUAAUAAUAAAUAAAGUAA